Long non-coding RNA from Salvia miltiorrhiza (redroot sage), 5019 nucleotides. RefSeq lists it as uncharacterized. The transcript has 3 exons. The record is from RefSeq and is a predicted model, not a curated record. Lineage: Eukaryota; Viridiplantae; Streptophyta; Magnoliopsida; Lamiales; Lamiaceae.
CGUACAUCUUGUCUCGUUUAUCGCGUUUAUCGUUUUAUAAUUAGGGUAAAGUUUCUUAUUUCAUCAACUGGCGCUGUCUGUGGGAAAUUGAGCUUAAGGCGUGAGUUUCGAGGAACAUUCUUCUCGAUUUUCAGAAUUUCCAGAUUCGGAUUUACUGUUCAUCGAAUAAAGGGAGGAGGAUUACUGUUCAUCAAGGAAAAUUUGGGAAAUUAGGGAUCUGGUACUGUUCAUCGGGAGAUUACUGUUCAUCGAAAAUUUGGGAAAUUAGGGAUAUGGUUACUGUUCAUCGAGAAAAAAAAGGGGAGGGAGGAAAGAAUUCCACAAAAAUCGAGUCUUAACUGUUCCAGAAUCAAGGGCCGAGAUUAUCUCUCCCUGCCGUCCGAUCUCUUACCCAGAAGCCCACCGCUGCGACUCCAAGAUUCAGCGAAUUCCACCAUGCCGAGAAGAAAGACAAAAAAAGGGGAAGAUAGGGAUUCCGAUUUCAGGGCUUAUUUCGCGGCAUCUUGCCAGAAAUUCCUGACGACAGAGCCACCUUCCUGGCGAGCAACUUUCGGCAGCAAUUGCUACCUCAGAAUUUCGACGUACGUCGCCGCUAAGCACGGGGAUGGCCUCCUUCUCUCAGAAUCGGGGUUUGGUUCCAUAUCGGAUCUAGUCCUCUCUCUGUUGUCGCUCUCUCUCUCUUGCACACAAACAUAGAUCGGGUCUCCUUCAAUUCCAAUUUUCACCUGGCCGAAGCCAACCACUGUGACUCAUAGCUCAUGAGUGCUCAAGGCGUUUUCUCCCGGAGCCGCAACUCAGUCAGGCAGCCCGCCUAUUCGGCAUGGUCAUUGAUUCACCUAUCCAACGAACAAUAAUAGCUCGCAGACCAUGGGCAGAGGGAAACCCCCCCCCCCCCAUUUUUCUCAAUUAAUAUGUAUUCUUCUAUUGUUAUGUGCACGUCUGGGUUAAUCUUGUGUUUCGAUUGUCUUAAUUAUGGCUCAAUCGAAUCCUCAGAAAUGCUACUCGUGGAGACCCUGCGCAGCCAGCUCGGCCAUCAUAAUCAAAUUCCCAGCAAAGACAUCGAGACAGCUCAGCUGCGCCGCCAGCUCUAUCGUCCUGACCAAGCUCCUGGUGAAGAUACCGGGGCAGCGCAGCUACCCAUUCAACACUGAAGUGUCACUCAAGGAUUGAGAAUGACAUUUUGCUUCCAGGGAAGCUCGCCCGAAAAGUCUAUACUAAUCACUACUUGCUAUCAAUAACGAAUUGCGGGAAAGAGAAUCAAGGCUAAGUCUUCGAUUCCUUUGCUCUAACUCGAAUAUUACGAAACGAGAUUAACUUUGAUUAACUUUGAUUGAGAGUCUCAUAGCAUUAUCAACUAUUGGGGCUGACGACAUUAUGAUUCUUGCUGUGAUUCAUAGUGCGAUUAUAUGAAAGGCUAAUAAACUUAGUUAUCAGAUAUUGUGAUUGCUUCAUACUCAGCUAUGAGAAUUUCAGUUUUGAUGUGGCCACUUUACUCAUUUACUUAUUUGUUCAUUUAUUGUUUCUUUAAAAUUGGGUCCUGAAAGGUGUCAAUGUUGGAUAACAUGUGCCCUCCGUUGUUGUGAUUUUUACUUUAGUUCCAGGGUUGAUCUCAUUGCGAUUCUGCUCUGAUUUGGGAUGGAUAGUGGGAAUAAUUUCGCCAUUGUGACUCUGUUUUCAAGUUAAUGCAUUACAACAUUGAUUCAAUGUGUAGGGGACUUCAGCGCUGAUAUGGUUGCCAAGGACCUGGACUAAAGAUGAAAUCUGUGGGUAACCUUCGAGAGCAGCGCAGGAAGGUGAUUGUCGGGGAAAAGGAAGAUUCAGUAUUGCUGCUCAGCCCGGGAAGAAAUUCUCAAUAUUCACCCUUCUCCUCCGUUGUCAAGCUGCGCAGCCAGCUCCGGUCCUCCCUCUCCUCUGAUGUUAAGCUGCGCAGCCAGCUCGGGCGCGCUCUUUUCCUCUACGGUUACUCAGCUGCGCAGCCAGCUCGGGCACGCUCUUAUCCUCUAUGGUUACUCAGCUGCGCAGCCAGCUCGGGCGCGCUCUUAUCCUCUACGGUUACUCAGCUGCGCAGCCAGCUCUAGCACGCUCAUUUUAUUUCCAAUUAUGUUCUGAUCUUGCUCUGCUUCUUGUGAUUUGCUUGAGACUGCUGCUGCUAGGACUAAUCGACAUAUGAACAUUUGCAUUUCUUGUUCUUUGCCUUCUUGAUCAUGUUUCGAAAUCAGUCUACUAUGAUUGAUUGUUUCUAAGGAAAAUCCAGAUGCUAUAAGUAUAUGACAAUUUUUCUUGAUGUCUUUUGAAUUCACAUGUUGAGUAAACUACCAUUUCUAAUCUUGGAUUCGCAUGUUGGCAUUUGUUUGCUUUAAACUAGAUGAAGUUACAUAUACUUCCCAAGUAGCAUGUACAAAGUAUUCAUGCAUGAAUUACUUGAUCCCAUAUUGGAUUGUUAUGGGCGCAUCAAGGGGCCGAUUAUUGGUUCGGUUAUGGGAACACUUGAAAAAUCAUUAACACAACGUGAGACUUCGCCUAAGUUUGACUGAUGAACUGCGGUUAUUAUUGCAUAGAUUUCAGGAUUAAUAGUGUAUUUUCAUUGCGACUUGAUUGAUUCUAAGAAUGGGACAUAGCACGAUACGAGUCACAUUGUUGAAAAGGCUUGCACUACAUUCAAUUUCCUAUGAAGUUGAACUUGAUCACGUUAUUCGAACUCAAUAUGUUUCAUGUUGAACUGAAUCCUCAAAAUUUUGUUUGCUUGUCUUGCUAAUCUCUUGUGAUUCUGCUAUUUUUGGGCGCGAGGGAUCAGUGGAUAACACCAUCCACAACUGGACCAUUGACGAGAAUUCAAGGUGCUCAACGGAGCUUGCCGUCUCCAAAGUCUCCCCUGCUCCGUGGAGCUUCGAUGGGUACUCGCUAGUCAGGUGCUUCAAACCAGAUUUGCAGCAAGGGUCCAGAGUUGAUAGAGCUUCAAUAGAGUUGCCUGCUCAUUGCCAUCAGCUUCAGUUCUUAGCAAUGAAUCAUCGGGCCGCCUCUCUCCUUUGUUCUUGACCAGCCAGCGUAGGACAGAAGACAGUCCUCAAUUUUUGGUUAUGUACUUCUUCAAGCCUGAGUAACUAGUUUUGCUCGGGGAUGGAAUAUUACUGCUGUCGCUUGUUAAGCUUUGCAUUGCGUCUCUGAUAUGUUCUUGUUGUGUAUCUUAUAUCUAUUGUUGGGGAUUCUGGGCUGGAUGCUGUGAAGUUGCUAUUUUUAUCAGAGUGGAAUAUAUUCCAGUCAUUAUCUUGACCUGCACAGAUUACAUUUGGAUUGGUUGGCAUGCACUCUACAUAGGCUUCUGUCUACCUUUCAUUUUUUUUAGCAUCCCUUGCUGAUUGUUGUUGCAAGCUGACUUGCUGGAAGAAGUGAAUAUGUCGACAGGACAUGACAAUGGCUUUCUUUCGUGUUAUCUGCUCUUCUCAGCUUUUGAUUUGCAGCCCUAGUCAAGUUAUAUAAGUUCUUUUGGUGUCUUCGUCUCCAAUGCUUUUUGAAUUUAUAAUUACUGUUGCUUAUGAAAUGAACAGGGAAGGCGAGGGAUAGUUCAUCAGCUGCGCCGCUGCGCUGAUGCAGCGCAGGGAGAGCGAGGGAUAGUUCAUCAGCUGCUGCUGCGCUGAUGCAACGCAGGGAGGGCGAGAGACAGUUCAUCAGCUGCGCCGCUGCGCUGAUGCAGCGCAGGAAGGGCGAGGGAUAGUUCAUCAACUAUGCCGCUGCGCUGAUGCAGCACUCCUGCUCAGCCCUAUAAGUUUUAUUAAAAUUUUGAUACGAAGAAAAUUUCCGGUAUGACAAGAAGACUAAGCACUACUGCUCCGCUCGGGAAGAAGUGUCCUUUGAUUAUGAUUUUCCGGGGGAUCGAGCUUGAUUACAUUACUUGACAUCCAUUCCUUAAUAUUCGAAUUUGUAGUUUAACUAUCAAAUUUGUUGUUCCUUUUAUGGUACCUGCACUGGAAAUAUACACACAUAUAUGUACAGAAUUUUGAACUCAACUUUGCUAUGAUCUUCUUCUAAUUUUGGGACCAAUAUUGCUAGACUUUACUACGAUGCGGCGGUAAUCUCGGGAGUCGGGACGGAUGCUAUAACUUUGUUAUGAUCUUAAGACUGAUUCGGUUCUAAUUUUUGCAAACUCAGUCCUUUCUAGCUGCAUUGUCAUGAUCAAUCUGUUUGGGGGUCAUUUGGAGAUUAAUUAAAUUAGUUCUGUCCGGAGUAUCUGCCUUCUUUGUUAACGAGUUUACAGCCCUGGGAAGGGCUCUCAUAUGUUACUAAUACUUUUGCUUAAGAAUUCCUACGGCGCAGGUUAAACAUAUUUUGGGAAAACAUUUGAACAAAUGUGAUACACGCUAUAUUACAACACGGGAAACCCACUAAAUAGUGAUGAUACAGUUACAGGGCUGCAGGGCUAAAAAACACUUGGACCCUACUCGGGAGAGCAGCACAGCGCUGACUCUAUACCGCAUACCACUGGUUGAACACGAAGAAGACAUAGUUCAACCAGACUAGGGGAGGAAUAGCUGAUGAGGACUAGAAUACUCAUCAGCGCUGUUUAAUUGAAGACCUUAGAUAAUAAAGGGACUCGCCAGCGCAGACUACGGGAUUUGGCGGCGCAGAUUAAGGGACUCGCCAGCGCAGACUACGGGACUUGGCGGCGCAAAUUACCCAGAUUACUCGGCAGCGCAGAUUAAGGGACUCGCCAGCGCAGACUACGGGACUUGGCGGCGCAGACUACCCAGGUUACUCGGCAGCAAAGACUAGCCUGCGCAGCUCAAGGGAGCUACUCAACAUGAGCAACGAAGAACAUCGCAAAUGGAUCAAGUCAAAACUAAAGUGUAUUAAGGCAUUAAAGGGCCUAAAUCCAAUUAUUAGUGUUCAUGGGCCUAGGGCCUGUAGGGCUCACUCUCACAUCUAUAAAUAGAAGGUUAGCAAGCAUUAAAGGCAUCAUGAUUGUUCACUUGUAAUAUGUAAUUCUCUAAAAGUAUAGUGAAAACAACAAAGAACUCCCGUGGA